AAAGGAAUAGACGGGGGCCCGCACAAGCAGCGGAGCAUGUGGCUUAAUUCGAAGCAACGCGAAGAACCUUACCAGGGCUUAACUAUGAGGUGAAGCGGCGGAAACGUCGUGGCCGAAAGGAGCCUCACUAGGUGGUGCAUGGCUGUCGUCAGCUCGUGUCGUGAGAUGUUGGGUUAAGUCCCGCAACGAGCGCAACCCUCGUCGCAUGUUGCCAGCGGUUCGGCCGGGCACCCUUGCGAGACCGCCGGCGUCAAGCCGGAGGAAGGUGGGGACGACGUCAAGUCAUCAUGCCCCUUAUGUCCUGGGCUGCACACGUGCUACAAUGGUCGGCACAAUGGGCUGCCACUGCGCGAGCAGGAGCUAAUCCCUAAAGCCGGCCCCAGUUCGGAUUGGAGGCUGCAACCCGCCUCCAUGAAGUCGGAGUUGCUAGUAAUCGCGGAUCAGCACGCCGCGGUGAAUACGUUCCCGGGCCUUGUACACACCGCCCGU
This 489-nucleotide ribosomal RNA is filed under the name uncultured bacterium. Its description in RNAcentral is "bacterial SSU rRNA". It matches the Rfam family "Bacterial small subunit ribosomal RNA", at positions 903 to 1397 of the family's 1533-position model. The record is from RNAcentral.